AAAAAAAGAAAGACUUUCUUCUUCCUCUAAAACCCUAAUUCCUCUACCAUUACCCAAACCCCAACCGCCGACCACCGACCACCGUCCAUCAUCUUCUUCCUCGCACGCCGUCAACAACCAUCGCACCUCGCACCUCCAUCACUAUCGCACCUCCAUCACCAUUGCACCUCCAUCACCAUCGCACCUCCAUCACCAUCGCACCUCCAUCACCGUUG
Molecule: long non-coding RNA, 215 nt
Filed under: Vigna radiata
Lineage: Eukaryota; Viridiplantae; Streptophyta; Magnoliopsida; Fabales; Fabaceae
Description: long non-coding RNA (VRAD_LNC018399)
Source: RNAcentral